GACGAACGCUGGCGGCGUGCUUAACACAUGCAAGUCGAACGGUGAAGCGCUUUCCUUUUUGGUUGGUGUGGAUGAGUGGCGAACGGGUGAGUAACACGUGAGUAACCUGCCCCCUUCUUCUGGAUAACCGCAUGAAAGUGUGGCUAAUACGGGAUAUUCUGCGCCUGCUGCAUGGUGGGUGUGGGAAAGAUUGUGCCUUUGGGGGUUUUCGGUGGGGGAUGGGCUCGCGGCCUAUCAGCUUGUUGGUGGGGUGAUGGCCUACCAAGGCGGUGACGGGUAGCCGGCCUGAGAGGGUGGACGGUCACACUGGGACUGAGACACGGCCCAGACUCCUACGGGAGGCAGCAGUGGGGAAUAUUGCACAAUGGGCGCAAGCCUGAUGCAGCGACGCCGCGUGAGGGAUGGAGGCCUUCGGGUUGUGAACCUCUUUCGCCAGUGAAGCAGGCCUGCUCCUUGUGGGUGGGUUGACGGUAGCUGGAUAAGAAGCGCCGGCUAACUACGUG
Molecule: ribosomal RNA, 503 nt
Filed under: uncultured bacterium
Lineage: Bacteria
Description: partial 16S ribosomal RNA
Rfam family: Bacterial small subunit ribosomal RNA
Source: RNAcentral